GAUGAAGAACGCAGCGAAAUGCGAUACGUAAUGUGAAUUGCAGAAUUCAGUGAAUCAUCGAGUCUUUGAACGCACAUUGCGCCCCCUGGUAUUCCGGGGGGCAUGCCUGUCCGAGCGUCAUUGCUGCCCUCAAGCACGGCUUGUGUGUUGGGCCUCCGUCCUCCUCCCGGGGGACGGGCCCGAAAGGCAGCGGCGGCACCGCGUCCGGUCCUCGGGCGUAUGGGGCUUCGUCACCCGCUCUUGUAGGCCCGGCCGGCGCUUGCCGACACAUCAAUCUUUUUUCCAGGUUGACCUCGGAUCAGGUAGGGAUACCCGCUGAACUUAAGCAUAUCAAUAAGCGGAGGA
This 345-nucleotide unclassified non-coding RNA is filed under the name soil metagenome. RNAcentral describes it as "partial contains 5.8S ribosomal RNA, internal transcribed spacer 2, and large subunit ribosomal RNA". The stretch from base 1 to 120 matches the Rfam family "5.8S ribosomal RNA", at positions 35 to 154 of the family's 154-position model. The record is from RNAcentral.